CCAAUAUUCCUGAAUCUGAGACAUUUGUCCUGCCAUCUUGGGAGUAUUUCUGUGUUUAACUGCGUUGCAUUAUGACGCCUUUCUGUAAAAUGCUUAGAGACAGGAAGGUCUAAUCUAGAUUUACAAAUUGUAGAUUAGCAUUUACAAAGCCUUCCUUUUAUCUUCUGAAUCCAACAAACAUUUAUUUUGCCGUAGGAACUAAAUAAUUGAAUCUACAAAAGAAGACUGUAACUGGUAAAAUGACCAUGUACCAAUACUGUAUCCCUGUAACGCAGUACAGAAACCGGGGCACUUAUUAACAUUAUACCAAUCCAUAUUCUUCACUUUACCAAAUAAACUGCUACCCCUCACACCAAAUAUACAGUUUGAUCAAACCGGAAACAUACAAGCCAAUCGAUAGUGC
Non-coding RNA from Pelobates cultripes (western spadefoot toad), 403 nucleotides. The record is from the annotation of a GenBank genome assembly. NCBI's taxonomy places the organism in Eukaryota, Metazoa, Chordata, Amphibia, Anura, Pelobatidae.